GGGGUUAUAGCUCAGUGGUAGAGCAUUUGACUGCAGGAGUUCAAGAUCAGCCUGGGAAACAUAGUAUAACUGACCCCA
RNAcentral lists this transfer RNA (78 nucleotides) under Cavia porcellus (domestic guinea pig). It matches the Rfam family "tRNA". Rfam says of the family: Transfer RNA (tRNA) molecules are approximately 80 nucleotides in length. Their secondary structure includes four short double-helical elements and three loops (D, anti-codon, and T loops). Further hydrogen bonds mediate the characteristic L-shaped molecular structure. tRNAs have two regions of fundamental functional importance: the anti-codon, which is responsible for specific mRNA codon recognition, and the 3' end, to which the tRNAs corresponding amino acid is attached (by aminoacyl-tRNA synthetases). tRNAs cope with the degeneracy of the genetic code in two manners: having more than one tRNA (with a specific anti-codon) for a particular amino acid; and 'wobble' base-pairing, i.e. permitting non-standard base-pairing at the 3rd anti-codon position. Lineage: Eukaryota; Metazoa; Chordata; Mammalia; Rodentia; Caviidae. The record is from Rfam by way of RNAcentral.